GACGAACGCUGGCGGCGUGCUUAACACAUGCAAGUCGAACGGAAAGGCCCUGCUUGUUUGUGGUGCUCGCGUGGCGAACGGGAGAGUAACCCGUGAGUAACCUUCCCUUUACUUUGUAAUAACUUCAGGCAACUGCUGAUAAUACCUGAUAGGUGAUCCUGCUGCAUGGGGGUGGUUGGACCUUUUCGGCGGUUAGGGAUGGACGCCGGGUUUAUCAGCUUGUUGGGGGGGGAGUUGCUUACCAAGUGUUUGACGGGUAGCCGGCAUGAGAGGGUGACCGGCGUCAUUGGGACUGAGAUACGGCCCAGACUCCUACGGGAGGCAGUAGUGGGGAAUAUUGUACAAUGGGCGGAAGCCUGAUGCAGCAACCCCGCGUGCGGGAUGACGGCCUUCGGGGUGUAAACCGCUUUCGCCUGUGACGAAGCGUGAGUGACGGUAAUGGGUGAAGAAGCACCGGCUAACUACGUG
Molecule: ribosomal RNA, 468 nt
Filed under: uncultured bacterium
Lineage: Bacteria
Description: partial 16S ribosomal RNA
Rfam family: Bacterial small subunit ribosomal RNA
Source: RNAcentral